AACGAACGCUGGCGGCAGGCCUAACACAUGCAAGUCGAGCGAAGCCUUCGGGCUUAGCGGCGGACGGGUGAGUAACGCGUGGGAACGUGCCCUUUGCUACGGAAUAGCCCCGGGAAACUGGGAGUAAUACCGUAUGUGCCCUUCGGGGGAAAGAUUUAUCGGCAAAGGAUCGGCCCGCGGUUGAUUAGGUAGUUGGUGGGUUAAUGGCCUACCAAGCCGACGAUCCCUAGCUGGUUUGAGAGGAUGAUCAGCCACACUGGGACUGAGACACGGCACAGACUCCUACGGGAGGCGGCAGUGGGGAAUCUUAGACAAUGGGCGGUAGCCUGAGCGAGCCAUGCCGCGUGAUCGAUGAAGGCCUUAGGGUUGUAAAGAUCUUUCAGGUGGGAAGAUAAUGACUGUACCACCAGAAGAAGCCCCGGCUAACUCCGUGCCAGCAGCCGCAGUAA
Molecule: ribosomal RNA, 449 nt
Filed under: uncultured bacterium
Lineage: Bacteria
Description: partial 16S ribosomal RNA
Rfam family: Bacterial small subunit ribosomal RNA
Source: RNAcentral